This 497-nucleotide ribosomal RNA is filed under the name uncultured bacterium. RNAcentral's name for it is "partial 16S ribosomal RNA". It matches the Rfam family "Bacterial small subunit ribosomal RNA", at positions 28 to 507 of the family's 1533-position model. The record is from RNAcentral.
GAUGAACGCUGGCGGCGUGCCUAAUACAUGCAAGUCGAGCGAACAGACGAGGAGCUUGCUCCUCUGACGUUAGCGGCGGACGGGUGAGUAACACGUGGAUAACCUACCUAUAAGACUGGGAUAACUUCGGGAAACCGGAGCUAAUACCGGAUAAUAUAUUGAACCGCAUGGUUCAAUAGUGAAAGACGGUUUUGCUGUCACUUAUAGAUGGAUCCGCGCCGCAUUAGCUAGUUGGUAAGGUAACGGCUUACCAAGGCAACGAUGCGUAGCCGACCUGAGAGGGUGAUAGGCCACACUGGAACUGAAACAAGGUCCAGACUCCUACGGGAGGCAGAAGUAGGGAAUCUUCCGCAAUGGGCGAAAGCCUGAAGGAGCAACGCCGCGUGAGUGAUGAAGGUCUUCGGAUCGUAAAACUCUGUUAUUAGGGAAGAACAAAUGUGUAAGUAACUAUGCACGUCUUGACGGUACCUAAUCAGAAAGCCACGGCUAACUACGUG